This 261-nucleotide ribosomal RNA is filed under the name uncultured bacterium. Its description in RNAcentral is "partial 16S ribosomal RNA". It matches the Rfam family "Bacterial small subunit ribosomal RNA", at positions 99 to 354 of the family's 1533-position model. The record is from RNAcentral.
CGAACGGGUGAGUAACACGUGGGCAACCUGCCCAAAAGAGGGGGAUAACACUUGGAAACAGGUGCUAAUACCGCAUAACCAUAGUUACCGCAUGGUAACUAUGUAAAAGGUGGCUAUGCUACCGCUUUUGGAUGGGCCCGCGGCGCAUUAGCUAGUUGGUGGGGUAAAGGCUUACCAAGGCAAUGAUGCGUAGCCGAACUGAGAGGUUGAUCGGCCACAUUGGGACUGAGACGCGGCCCAAACUCCUACGGGAGGCAGCAG